AUUGAACGCCGGCGGCAGGCUUAACACAUGCAAGUCGAGCGGGGGAAGGUGCUUCGGUACUGACCUUAGCGGCGGACGGGUGAGUAAUGCUUAGGAAUCUGCCUAUUAGUGGGGGACAACAUCUCGAAAGGGAUGCUAAUACCGCAUACGUCCUACGGGAGAAAGCAGGGGAUCACUUGUGACCUUGCGCUAAUAGAUGAGCCUAAGUCGGGAUUAGCUAGUUGGUGGGGUAAAGGCCUACCAAGGCGACGAUCUGUAGCGGGUCUGAGAGGAUGGUCCGCCACACUGGGACUGAGACACGGCCCAGACUCCUACGGGAGGCAGCAGUGGGGAAUAUUGGACAAUGGGGGGAACCCUGAUCCAGCCAUGCCGCGUGUGUGAAGAAGGCCUUAUGGUUGUAAAGCACUUUAAGCGAGGAGGAGGCUCUUUUGGUUAAUACCCAAGAUGAGUGGACGUUACUCGCAGAAUAAGCACCGGCUAACUCUGUGCCAGCCGCCGCCGUAA
RNAcentral lists this ribosomal RNA (504 nucleotides) under uncultured bacterium. RNAcentral describes it as "partial 16S ribosomal RNA". It matches the Rfam family "Bacterial small subunit ribosomal RNA", at positions 30 to 523 of the family's 1533-position model. The record is from RNAcentral.